GCAGCCACCUUUUAAAACGCGUCAAAGCGUAACCUUAACCCCCCCAAAUUCCAUUAAUUUUCAUGAACCCCUAAUUUAUAAUGAAUGACUCCAUAUUUAUAUGGAAGACACCAUGCUAGGAUUAGUAACAAGAAUUUAUAAUUCUCCAAAAUGCAAAUAUAAACCAACAUGGAUGGACCAUUGGUAGUUACCGAACCUAAAUUUUAUGCAAUAACACCCACAAGAAAACUCUGCAGUACUUACUCGUUAACCUAACACCAGCGCAUUACAGGAAAGAUUAAAAAAAAGAGAAGGAAUUCGGCAAAUGACGGCCCCGCCUGUUUACCAAAAACAUCGCCUCUUGACUUAUAAUAAGAGGUCCAGCCUGCCCAGUGAAUUUUAAACGGCCGCGGUAUCCUAACCGCGCGAAGGUAGCAUAAUCACUUGUUCUUUAAAUGGGGACUCGUAUCAACGGCAUCACGAGGGUUUUACUGUCUCCUCUUUUUAAUCAGUGAAAUUGAUCUUCCCGUGAAGAAGCGGGAAUAAAUUUAUAAGACGAGAAGACCCCAUGGAGCUUUAAACCAAGUAACAACUUAACCACUUAUCCCAUAAUAAAUUUAAACCCUGUUAUAAGGUUUUUGGUUGGGGUGACCGCGGAGUAAAGCACAUCCUCCACGACGGAAAGAACAAAAUCUUUAUUUAAGAACCACACUUCUAGAAAUUAGUAUACUAACGUUUACUGACCCGACAAUCGAUCAACGGACCAAGUUACCCUGGGGAUAACAGCGCAAUCUACUUCAAGAGCCCAUAUCGACAAGUAGGCUUACGACCUCGAUGUUGGAUCAGGGUAUCCCGGUGGUGCAGCCGCUACCGAAGGUUCGUUUGUUCAACGAUUAAAACCCUACGUGAUC
RNAcentral lists this ribosomal RNA (890 nucleotides) under Polypedates leucomystax (Java whipping frog). Its description in RNAcentral is "partial 16S ribosomal RNA". It matches the Rfam family "Bacterial large subunit ribosomal RNA", at positions 1112 to 2605 of the family's 2925-position model. The record is from RNAcentral. Lineage: Eukaryota; Metazoa; Chordata; Amphibia; Anura; Rhacophoridae.